RNAcentral lists this long non-coding RNA (2353 nucleotides) under Canis lupus familiaris (dog). RNAcentral's name for it is "lncRNA (ENSCAFG00845002125.1)". The record is from RNAcentral. Lineage: Eukaryota; Metazoa; Chordata; Mammalia; Carnivora; Canidae.
UUUUUUUUUACAACCGUGUUCAUCAGGGAUAUUGGCCUACCGUUAUCUUUUUUAGUGGUGUCAUCUGGUUUUGGUAUCAGGGUGAUGCCAGCCUUAUAGAAUGCAUUUGGAAGUUUUCCUUCCUUUUCAUUUUUUGAGAUAAUUUGAGAAUAAUAGAUUUAAUUCUUCUUUAAAUGUUUGGUAGAAUUUGCCCGUGAAGCUAUCCAGCCUGAUUUGGUUUCUUUGUUGGUUAUCAGUCUGUUCAAAUUUUCUAUUUUUUCAUUGUUUCAGUUUUGGUAGUUUAUGUUUAUAAGAAUAUAUCUAUUUCUUCCAGAUUAUCCAAUCUGGGGGUGUAUAGUUUUCCAUAAUAUUAUUUUAUUCUUUUAUCUACGUGGCCAUCGAUUAUCUCAUCAGAAUCACACCCUUCCCAUGUGAUUAUAUCCUUUUUGACCUGACUCAGUGCGGUAGAAAGACCUCCUUCAAGAUCCCAUCUAUCCCUAAAGCAUCACUGAACAGCGUGCUCAGAGACACUGCCUCCUGAGGGUGGGUUCUCCUUCUGAAUCAUCUACUCAGGAUCUCUCAGCUUCUCAGGGACACUGAAGUAUGCUGUGAAAUGGUAGGUGACAUUCUGCUGCUUAUUGUGUUUCUACACAAUGCUGCUCUUGAUCACGUUGUCACUUCACAUGAAGAGACUCAGAUGGAGAAUAAGUUGACUUUUGCUGUCUUCUCAAAAAUGAAGAAAGAAGCUCUCUGGGAGAGUCUGAUCUCGAAUUUUCUAACUCGAUUGAGCAAUAUUUCACUUGGCUGCAAAGCUACCACAUGCUACACACUUCCAAUUGCCUUUAGACUUGCUAAAUGCAUUUAUAGACUGAGAACGAGCGGUAGGAAAAAUGUGGCGGAUGAAAUAAAGUCUUUUUCACACUGCCCCUUUUAUUAUUGUGUUAUAAAAACCCAGGCUCAAAAUAGAUUGAGGUAGAUUUAUCUUUUAAUGAAAAUCGCCGGGAGGUUGGAAGUCAAAUAUUCUUAUCUUUUUCUCCUGUCUCCAGAGCAAGACUCGUUUGCAGGGCUGACCUUGCAGUACAGUCCUAGAGGGAGCUACAAUGAUACUGUGGACUGACUUCCUUCACAAGGGACUUUUAAAAGAGACAAUGGAGCUGGCAUGCCUCCUUUCAGGCUCCCUUGUCCAGGGUUGUGCAUGUCAGCUUUUUUGGAGAGCAAAGGGCAGAAAAGUUCAAGAGUGAUUGUAGCCAGCAGAAAGGAGCGAGUUCUGAGGACAUUGUGAGGACGCUGGCCUGGCUGCUCUGGAGGCCUUGGGCAGCACUUAGAGCCUUCACUGUGCACCUGAACUGCUCGUGGGAGGCUCGGCUGGGCCAACCCACUGGGUCCUUGCCACACAUCCCCACACAGGCUCGGGGGACGCCUCACAGAGCAGCUGCAGAGCCGCUGCCCCACCUGGCAAUGCAGGGCCUGGGCCUGCUGCCCCCGCAAGCUCCUGACUACCCCUUUCCCCAGAUGGGGGUCUCAGAAACCUGUUGAGCAUGAGAAUGAUUUUACCAACUUUUUUCUUUUUUUUUUUUUUUUUUUUUUUUAGUGUUAGGUUUUUGUCUUAAAUAAAUCAGUGGGGAGAUAAUUUUGCACUUCUUUUUGUUUUCACUUCCUUUUUGCAUGAAAUUCAAGGUUCAUAACAGAGAAGAGGGUGCAUGUUGGUAGUAGGAGAAACGAAAGCAGAGAUAAUAAGAAAAAAGUAGGCAAAAGAAUAGCAUUUAGAGGAAGAUUGUUAUCAGUCAGCAUUUCAACAAAUAUCUGUAAAAAUAAUCACUCUGGGGAAAUACAGUAAUGAGAAUUUAAUGUCAAAAUGAUUGUAAUUUUAUGCCUAAAUACACUCAACAUGACAAAGAAUUCUCUUAAUCUUAAUUAGGAAUAGGUGGGGGCCUUUCAAUUUUUUUCCAUAAACUGCAUAGCUCCUGGAACUAAUUGCCUUCUAAGAGCAAUAGAUAAUAGAAAAACAUGAUUGUAUCAUAUGUUCUGGAGAACAUAAAUAGCAUCCCACUGAUUUCUUAACUCCCUGAACUGGAGCAGCAUCUCAAUCUAGCUGCUAGUAAUUAAAAUUCCAUAUAUCUAUCUAUCUAAAUGGAAGGUUUUACAUUUUAUGUAAUUACUGUACAAUCACCUUACUAUGAAUGGAUUCCAUGUGCAAAUGGCAAAGCAAGUUUGAAGAACUGAUUUGGUUAAGUACUUUUAAAUCUAUUACUCCUGAAUAAAAGUCUCAAUGAAAUUGUAUGCUACUUAACAUUUCAAGGAAUUUUGUAAGUUGAUGAAACAAAUACAUCUUCUAUGUAGAUGUGCUUGUGUGAAACUCAUCUCUUGUAGUAAA